Molecule: unclassified non-coding RNA, 707 nt
Filed under: Melitaea cinxia (Glanville fritillary)
Lineage: Eukaryota; Metazoa; Arthropoda; Insecta; Lepidoptera; Nymphalidae
Description: misc RNA ENSMCXG00005006871.1
Source: RNAcentral
GUGGGUCCUGGCUUCGGAGGAAACUUAUAUGUUUGUUGCGGAACAAGACCCGCGCAGAGCAAGAGGGGAGCACGGGGCCACCGACCACCGCACAGAACUCCUGCAACAAGUUGAACGGGGCAGCUUAUACUACAAAGGGUCUGCGAACUUGGUGGCGAGUUCUAUACUUAAUAUAACGCGGAGGCAUUUAAAUUAGUCGCUAUUCAAUAAAAGGCAGGCAAUUAUGCUAUUUCUAUAUAAUAAGUAUAUAGGUAGAUAGCAUAGGUUAAGUAGUUAAAUUUUUAGUGUUAGAAUUAGUCAUCAGUUUUUUGCAAGUAAGUCUUAGUAUUUAGUUAAAAGUUCAAUGUAAUAAAACUUAAGAUCAACAGUAAUAAAUAAUUUGUUAGUAAGUAAGUACACGUAUUAUUUAAGAAUAUAAAACUUGUAAAGAUAGUUAAGCAUAGAAUUAAGAUCCUGUAGUAUAAGAGUAACAAAUUAUAGAAUUAAGAGAUUGUUAGAGUUAAUAUAAGUUUGUAAUGGUAAUGAUAACAUCACCAAGACAAAUAAAAAUUUUAUGUAAAAAAUAACAACUGAAAAACAACAGCCCUGUUAAAACAAAAAAUAAUAUAAAACUAAACUAUGUGUAUAGAAAAAAAAAAAAAAAAAAAAAAAAAAAAAAAAAAAAAAAAAAAAAAAAAAAAAAAAAAAAAACCUAACCUAACCUAACC